RNAcentral lists this ribosomal RNA (385 nucleotides) under uncultured bacterium. Its description in RNAcentral is "bacterial SSU rRNA". It matches the Rfam family "Bacterial small subunit ribosomal RNA", at positions 29 to 414 of the family's 1533-position model. The record is from RNAcentral.
AUUGAACGCUGGCGGCAUGCCUUACACAUGCAAGUCGAACGGCAGCACGGGGGCAACCUUGGUGGCGAGUGGCGAACGGGUGAGUAAUGCAUCGGAACGUGCCCAGUAGUGGGGGAUAACUAGUCGAAAGAUUAGCUAAUACCGCAUACGACCUAUGGGUGAAAGUGGGGGAUUCGCAAGAACCUCGCGCUAUCGGAGCGGCCGAUGUCUGAUUAGCAGUUGGCGGGGUAAAAGCCCACCAAGGCGACGAUCAGUAGCUGGUCUGAGAGGACGACCAGCCACACUGGGACUGAGACACGGCCCAGACUCCUACGGGAGGCAGCAGUGGGGAAUCUUGCGCAAUGGGCGAAAGCCUGACGCAGCGACGCCGCGUGGGUGAUGAAGG